UUGACCUCGGAUCAGGUAGGGAUACCCGCUGAACUUAAGCAUAUCAAUAAGCGGAAGAAAAGAAACCAACAGGGAUUGCCUUAGUAACGGCGAGUGAAGCGGCAACAGCUCAAAUUUGAAAUCUGGCCUCUUUGGGGUCCGAGUUGUAAUUUGGAGAGGAUGUUUCGGGUACGGUCCGGGCUUAAAUUUCUUGGAACAGAAUGUCACAGAGGGUGAGAAUCCCGUCUGGAGUCUGCGACACGGCCUAUGUGAAACUCCUUCGACGAGUCGAGUUGUUUGGGAAUGCAGCUCUAAAUGGGUGGUAAAUUUCAUCUAAAGCUAAAUAUUGGCCAGAGACCGAUAGCGCACAAGUAGAGUGAUCGAAAGAUGAAAAGCACUUUGAAAAGAGAGUUAAACAGUACGUGAAAUUGUUGAAAGGGAAGCGCUGGCAACCAGACUUGCGCGUCGGGGUUCCCCCUGGCUUCUGCCUGGGCUACUCCCCGGCGCUCAGGCCAACAUCGGUUUUGGGGGUCGGUUAAAGGCCCCGGGAAUGUACCUACCCUUCGGGGUAGACUUAUAGCCCGGGGUGUCAUGCGGCCACCCGGGACCGAGGAACGCGCUUCGGCUCGGAUGUUGGCGUAAUGGUUGUCAGCGACCCGUCUUGAAACACGGACCAAGGAGUCUAACAUCUAUGCGAGUGUUAGGGUGUCAAACCCUUACGCGGAAUGAAAGUGAACGGAGGUAGGAAGCCGUAACACGCUGCACUAUCGACCGAUCCUGAAGUUUACGGAUGGAUUUGAGUAAGAGCAUAGCUGUUGGGACCCGAAAGAUGGUGAACUAUGCCUGAAUAGGGUGAAGCCAGAGGAAACUCUGGUGGAGGCUCGCAGCGGUUCUGACGUGCAAAUCGAUCGUCAAAUUUGGGUAUAGGGGCGAAAGACUAAUCGAACCAUCUGGUAGCUGGUUCCUGCCGAAGUUUCCCUCAGGA
Molecule: ribosomal RNA, 964 nt
Filed under: Cyphellophora sessilis
Lineage: Eukaryota; Fungi; Ascomycota; Eurotiomycetes; Chaetothyriales; Cyphellophoraceae
Description: eukaryotic LSU rRNA
Rfam family: Eukaryotic large subunit ribosomal RNA
Source: RNAcentral